CAUGAAGAUAAAAUGCUAAUAUGGUUGACUUUUCACAAGCACAUGGGUUAGUGCCAGAGAAACAAUAAUAUUGUAAAACAGCUACUCAAACCGAAGUGUUGAGCCUGCAGCUAAUAUACCAAGACCUGUUUCUGAACGGGAUUUGUUUUUCUGUUUAUGGAUUACCAGGCUAUGAAAAUCCCUGUAGAUAAAGGUUGUGAGAAGAUCUGAAGCUGUUACCAUGACACUGAGUCCCGUUAUGCCAAAGGAUGAGUGCUCUCCCACAGGGCAGCUCCCCAGAUGAUGUGAGACCUACUGAUGAUUCCAUUGGUUUCUGCCAGGUGGUACACACCCCAUUCCCAGUCUGCCAGUCAUCAUUAUGCAAUGGCUGUUUCCUUUUGGCUAGUUGGUCCCCUUCUAAGAAAAAAUAUCUCUGGACUCAAGAUGGCGCUGUGAGAACAACCCAGGAUUGGAGCCCGCGUUGAAUUCGCAAACGGAAUGUGUGAUGAGCAGAAAUAACGUAGACUGUGACUUGGGCUCCUUUUAUCUCUAAAUUUUUUUCAAAGAGGUAAUCUUAUCAACUGAUUUAUAGAACUCAUUUUUUUCCAAAGUGUUUAAUUUUUUGUACAGAUAUUAAGUGUAUGCCAAUAAAUUAAAUAUCUCAAUAAUGGUAGUAAUAAAUAAAGUGCUGGGAUUACAGGCCUGAGCCAUUGCACCCAGCCAAGGAACAUUUGAUUUUUAAAUGACUAUAUAUGUAUUUGACAAUGACUAUAUAUAUAUAUGUGUGUGUGUGUGUGUGUGUAUGUGUGUGUAUUGUAUAUAUAUAUAUACACACAUGUGUGUGUGUGUUUGUGUGUAUAUAUACACACACAUAUUAGCGACUUUGAACUUGUUGUGAAAUCUCAAUAUGAAAAGGAUAGAAUAAGUCAUGGAAAGCUGAAAGGUCUAGUUAAAAGAAGCCAAAG
Molecule: long non-coding RNA, 944 nt
Filed under: Callithrix jacchus (white-tufted-ear marmoset)
Lineage: Eukaryota; Metazoa; Chordata; Mammalia; Primates; Cebidae
Description: lncRNA (ENSCJAG00000075863.1)
Source: RNAcentral